This 2985-nucleotide unclassified non-coding RNA is filed under the name Hevea brasiliensis (rubber tree). Lineage: Eukaryota; Viridiplantae; Streptophyta; Magnoliopsida; Malpighiales; Euphorbiaceae. The record is from RNAcentral.
GUACACUUCCUUUUCUUUCGGGUAAUCAUCCACUUGUUCUUAUUUUCUCCCCAUAUCUCCAAAGAUACAUCACACUAUCAUUCCAUAUCUCUUAACCCUCUCCUAGCCUGCUACCACUCUCAUUUCUCUCUCUCUUUCGCUUUCUGUCUUUUUUAUUCUCUUCAACUAGAAACAGACUACUCAUUUCUCUUCUCCAUUUAUCUUUUUUUAUUCCUUUUCCUUGUAUUUAUGCACUCUUGAAAAUAAAUAAACACUAAAAUUUACUAUUCUACUUUUCAAAUUGUUCAGUUAAAUCGUAUUGCUACAAUUAUCUAUCUCACAUUGUUCAAGCUUUCAAACAAAGAAAUGACCAGCAACAACAUAUCAAUCCAUGGUAUAAUGCAGUGGUUAAAAAGCUCUGCACGACGCUCCAUUCAGCCUACCAAGACCUGAUGCCAAUCCCAGCAAAAAUAUACUGGUUGCUAUCGGCUACAGCCAUUCUCCCAAAGAUGACUUUCGAAUUGUUGCCAAUUGCCAUGGACACACUGUUCAUCGAACGCAAACAAUCAGGCAGGAAGAACCUCCUCUCAUCUCUAUUGCAUCUCUAAUUAGCAGAACACCUGGUGGUCUGUUCCCCUGUGAUACAUUACCCCAUUUCAAACCUGCAUUACCGUGGCAGUUUCAUUUCCAUUUGUUUGUGCCCCAUUAUGGUUCAAAUAAGUGGGCACAAACAAAUGGAAACAUCCCCUAAAAAUCUGGAUGCAAGUCGACGAUAAGAAACUAACAAAUUAUUGACACAUUUAUUAUAGACAAACAAGCGUUAAAAAGUAGAAUAUUACAACCUUCACAUCUAAUAACAUAAAUGCGUAUAGACAGACAACAGCAUCCCAUAGUUUAAUGGUGUUACAAGCACCCUCAAACAGACAACUCCGAUCAUGGGCUUCAAACUAGCAUAUCCCAUCACACUUUCAUAAAAACUAGCAGCAAUUAAGUCAUGUAUCAAGCAGAACCUAACUAAGUAAUCCAAAAGGAUGCAGCCGCACAAAAUCGAACCAUACAGUUAUCCCCGCAACUUUAUAAUAAAAGCAUACUCUUGAAUAAUGCUCUCAAUUCCAGUCAUAAAUGCUUGUAGACAUCUUAAGUAAGUAUUCAACUAAAGAAUUCAUUCAACACAGUUAUACAUACUUGAAUAGAUAUAUAAAUGCCCAUAUGCCAUUUCCCUUAGCUCUUUCACACCCACUACCUCUAUAACAAACUUAUCCAUAUAAGACCAAAAUAUGCCCACAAACAAAUCUAAGCAAUUCACAUCCGAAAAUUACACUUGGACCAACAGAAGGGUGUUUGAUCUCAUCCAUCACCUGAAACUCCGCUUAUUUGCAGACCUUCGUCUACUCUGAGUUGAGUAACGAGGUUCUGAUUGGGAACCAUUCUCUCCAAAUCCUCUAGCAUCCAUUUUUCCAUCCUUCCCAAUUGUCUGCCUUCUCCCAUAAGGCUCAGACAUGGGAGAUUUUAACCUCUUUGUUUUGUCCAUGUCAUAUGCUAGUGGUUCAAUCCCCUGCAAAUCAGGCUCUGGAACAAAGCCAAUAGGCCGUUUUUCAUCAUCCAUUUUUCUAAAUGUGAUAGAUAUCCUCUUUGAUGGAACUGAAGGCACACAGUGCUUAGACACAUCAGCUGCAUUUCCAUUUAACACAAGAACAGAUCCUACAGGUAGAGGGAUUGCAAUUGAUCCAGUAAACUCGCCAGCACGCACAACCUUCAAGUUAGUUCCAAAUACUAUAUUGCACUCGCUAACAAAUGACACCGUGCAGAAAGGCCGAACAAAAUCAUGAUUGUCAAUAUGUGGAGGUAUACAGUCCCCUUUAUCAUAAAUAUUAACAAUGCAACUAUCAGGUACACAAGUCGGGGGGAGAACAUGCCACUUGAUCAGCCUUCUAAUGAUCACUUUAAAGAGCUUAGGUAUAGGAUCUACAAUUUCAUUCUGGAGGAUGCCAGGUGGAUUACCAUUUUUGUCUGUUGCAUAAUUGUAACAACAACCAAAUUGGAUGGUUACGCGCCCUUUGCCCCUCAUCCACUUCUGUGGGGCUGUAUAUGUUCUCUCUUUCAGUUUUCCUUUGCUCCCCAACUCUUGGAGUUCAUGCACAUAAUUAACUAUUCUUGUCUGCUCUACAGCACUGAAAACAAGAGAGUGUAGUUCAAGUCCCUCAAGAAUAUUAACAAUCUUUCCUUUGACCCUCUCCAAACAAAUAAAAUCCUUCUUCCUCUUCACACUCAUAAACCUGAUGUACUCUCUUUGAUCUCUCGACAACUUAGGCUUUUCAACAUCCCUUGAUAUCUUCAUCUCCCCAGUCAAAGCACUUGUAUUAACCAUCCGCUUGUUCAAAUCCGUCUGUUCCUCCUCAAAUUCAUCUUCCUGUGCCAUGUCAGCCCAAGACAUCCGGUGGCUCGGGGCUUCAACCAAAGGUGCAGCACCAAGGAUUCCACUAGUAGAAGCUUCUGAAACAGAUUCUGACCACCCAUUCGCUUCAUCUUUCCAACUACCCAAGGAAUUCAUAUCAUCUCCAUCUCCAUCUUUCCAACUUCCCGAUGAAUUAUUGUCACAGUUAUCAUCCAAACAAUUCUCAUGGGAUUCACUAUUGCUUAGGGGCACAGGCGUUAUUGUUGUAUCUGAAUGUGAAGGUUCUGCUUCGGCAUCAACUUCAGGUUCGAGAGAGCGGAUGCGAUCGGAGAGGAUUUGGGUGCAGUGUUGGCAGAGAUCUCUGGAGAGAAAAGGGAGCCACGUGGUGAGGAACUCCGACGCAAUUCGGAGAUCGGACGGCUGAUACUGCAGAAGGAAAGGAUCGUCCCUUCUGACUCGAUGGAGAUCGGUCAUGGCUGAGUCACUAUUCGGAAAGCGAAUAAGAGAUUUAUUGCAGAGCUUAUUUAGAAAAACAGAAAGUAAAGCUUCCUUCAAACUUCAAAUUCUGAUUCGUGUUGAGUUGAAGAACAAAUUGUGACUAUAAAGGUAAC